This is a long non-coding RNA of Spinacia oleracea (spinach), 1543 nucleotides long. RefSeq lists it as uncharacterized. The transcript has 3 exons. The record is from RefSeq and is a predicted model, not a curated record. Lineage: Eukaryota; Viridiplantae; Streptophyta; Magnoliopsida; Caryophyllales; Amaranthaceae.
UCCCCACGUACAAAGUAAGGAGGAAAUUUCCUUCCUUCCUAGCUUCUUCCCUCAUUUCAGUCUCCAUUCAAAACAAAAAUCAAGUUUGCUUCUUCCACUUCAAUCCUUUACAAAUUCAACAAUUUCAGAAUUUCUAAUUGCAAAAACAAGAGACCAAUUCCACUUCUUUUUCUCUCCUCUGUCGAACCACCACCAUCAACCACCACCGUUUACCACCACGACCACCUGCUGCCUCCAUCAUUCCCAGCCACCCGCACCCGCACCAAACCAAUCACCGCCUCACCCUCCUCCCAGAACCAACCGAGAAACACCACCCUUGCUCCUCCCCUGUUUCGCAACCCCCUUCCCCUGCCUCCCUCUUUUCGUUCCCCUGCUGCAGCCACCACAAUCACACCACCACCACCACCACCGUCUCUCCGGCGCUUCUCUGUUGUGCCGCCUCCCAGUCCGCCCAGAACCUCCGCCCAAACCUCCGGUCACCAUCACCCCUCUCCUCCCCUGAUUUCUCCCCUGUUCGCGCCCCUCUCCCCCUUCCCUCGCCUGUUUCUGCCGCCUCAAACCACCAUCACCGUCGCCUCUCGGCGCGGUUUCACCGCCCAGGCUGAGCCCCCAGCCUCCCUCCUCUCUUCCUCCUCCCCGUGUUCCUCCUGUUCGUGCCCUGCUUCGUUCGUGCCCUGCUUCCCUUGCUGCUCAAUUUCAGAAACUUUGUUUCUGAAAUUGAAACCUCAUUUACUCCUCCAUAUUUAAGUUGGGCCAAUCAAUUGGGCUUUGGAAAUUGGACUCGGAGUUCAGGAAGAACGAUCCAUCGAACAGGAAGUAUAAACUACGGUUGAGGUACGAAGAAGAUCAUGGGAUGCCUUAGAGUGAGGAUGCAACCAUCAAAUUCACGAUCGAUGUUUAGUAAAGAUAACUAUGUCAUUAGUAAUAAAGGGAUGUAUUAAUUAAACUCUAAGUUUGAUUUCACGAUUUGAGUUAGAUCUUCAAAUUAAUGUUUAAACGUGUUAGAAAUAUUUAUUAAGGUUUACCUAGAUUUUAAUGUAAUUUUUAAAGGAUUAAUCGAAGUGAAGUAUAAUUACUGUUACUCAACAGUAGUCAGUAAAUGUAAAAAGGUUAUGUCGCCUUGUAUUUCCCACGAGGGAGAUACGGCAGUAACGCUCCUACUAAAUUAGGGUUUUCGCUGCUAAUUAAAGAUAAUUAACCUAAUUAAUGGUGUUUAGAAGUCGGGGUGUUACAGAGAGACUUUAGAUUGUCUCAUAUUGACUUUAUACUGGUUGGUAAAGUAAAUGUAUCGUGGAUUCGUGAAAUAGCUUGGUUGGUUCACUUAGGUAGCCUAUAAGUGCUAGUGCUUGUUUGUUUAAUUUCCCAUCUAAUUUCUUAAGAAAUAGCUUAAUGUGUUUUGUCGAACUUGAGCAUUUCUAUUUAAUGGAGACUGAUACACAAUUAACAUAUUUAAUCAAUAUAUGUAUUAGCAAAAACCAAGAAAUGCCUUGAUCUAGUGGAAAAUAUUUCUCCUUCUAACAAAAAAUUCAGAGGUUCAAUCCAC